UACGGAGGAUUCAGGCGUUAUCCGGAUUUAUUGGGUUUAAAGGGUGCGUAGGCGGUCGGAUAAGUUAGAGGUGAAAUCCCGGGGCUCAACUUCGGAAUUGCCUCUGAUACUGUUCGGCUAGAGAGUAGUUGCGGUAGGCGGAAUGUAUGGUGUAGCGGUGAAAUGCUUAGAGAUCAUACAGAACACCGAUUGCGAAGGCAGCUUACCAAGCUACUUCUGACGUUGAGGCACGAAAGCGUGGGGAGCAAACAGG
Molecule: ribosomal RNA, 253 nt
Filed under: uncultured bacterium
Lineage: Bacteria
Description: partial 16S ribosomal RNA
Rfam family: Bacterial small subunit ribosomal RNA
Source: RNAcentral